Molecule: long non-coding RNA, 689 nt
Organism: Camelus dromedarius (Arabian camel)
Lineage: Eukaryota; Metazoa; Chordata; Mammalia; Artiodactyla; Camelidae
Exons: 4
Source: RefSeq, a predicted model, not a curated record
GCAGGCAAUGGAAUUGUUUGUUCUUAAUUUCACAGCUGCCCACGGCAGUGUUGCUUUGGGGGAACUCUCCGGAAGCCCCGUCUGAAAACUGUCUCAAAAUUACAUCAUCCAGGAGAGCAUUCCCCAACCUCAUUUUUAACAGCACGAAACUGAAACUGACUGCAGUCUGCUUGGGCUGAAAGCAAAGGAGUGGACCUUUUCUUGUAGCUCCAGGGAGCCGACCUUGGCAGAUGCAGAGGCAAGAGGAGAAGGCGUGCUGCAGCAUCCAGGAGAGAAGAGAAGGGGACAGACACAGAGACAUAGAGGAGAAGCUGCAAGAGGUGCAGGCAGAGACUGGAAUGACGCAUCUACAAGCCAACCAAUGCCGAGAACUGCCAAAGGCCGCAAGAAGCCGGGAGCGAGGCCUGGACCAGAUUCUCUCUUGGAACUCCCAGAAGGAAUUAACCCUGAGGAUACCUGACUUCGGACUUCUGGCCUCCUAAAGUGUAAGAGACCCCUUCCAGAAGGACACAGCCACAGCUGCCGGCUCUAGCUGGGAUCAUCCACAGAGAAGGCUGACACAUCGAGGGCUGAGCCCUUUUGGAGGAAAAUCCUUGAGUAUGUUGAUGUCAGGGGACAGGAGGUUGGGGCCUUGGCCCAACAGGGAGACCAGGGAACGAAAAGGGGUGAGUACAGCCACCAGCAAUCCA